Molecule: long non-coding RNA, 418 nt
Filed under: Helianthus annuus (common sunflower)
Lineage: Eukaryota; Viridiplantae; Streptophyta; Magnoliopsida; Asterales; Asteraceae
Source: RNAcentral
AUGUCACUAGGUGAUAGUUUGAGUGCCGGAAAGUGCCUAAAACGCAAAUUAAUUACAGAAUUCCGCACUUUCAGUAACAAAUCAGCUUUUAACACACUCAUAUUAUACAGAAGUAUUGACUAAAUGGUCCUGGACACUUUCCUAAGUGUUGGAAUUAAUUUCGUUACAAAAAGAUGCACAAAAGACGCUAUACGGGACAAUUAAACGCUUUAACGGAACGAUGCGAAACCGAACAACCAGACAUUACCCGAGACAUGAAAAUAUUGUCAGAAAUAUUAUUUUAUCAUUUUAAAUUAUUUAUGGUCACCAAAAAUCCCUAUACACCAUGUUAAUAUGACAUACACCCACUAUACUUGAAAAUACCCUUAACCUUCUAACUUAUUACCUACUAAUUACCAAAAAUUUACAUUUUACCCCC